CCCCAUGCAGCACGGCCGGCCUGACCACCCACGCCGGCUGCUUGCCUUCCUCCAGACACUGCCACCUACCGAGCACAGGUGCACUUAAUCUGUAGCUUUGCAGUAAUCCUAUGGCGCGCAUGCGCGUCGAAGCAAGGUCUCUUAAAAAAACAGGAGGCAGAAACCAGAGAAGGGGGUGUGAAUGAAGGAGGAGCUACAGUAAGUGGACAAGCCUCUUUCCCCUAUUUAAACUCCACUAACC
Non-coding RNA from Pelobates cultripes (western spadefoot toad), 241 nucleotides. The record is from the annotation of a GenBank genome assembly. Lineage: Eukaryota; Metazoa; Chordata; Amphibia; Anura; Pelobatidae.